Molecule: long non-coding RNA, 364 nt
Filed under: Brassica napus (rape)
Lineage: Eukaryota; Viridiplantae; Streptophyta; Magnoliopsida; Brassicales; Brassicaceae
Description: long non-coding RNA (BNAP_LNC011201)
Source: RNAcentral
CAUAACUUAGGGUGAACCUUUAAAUUCACUCCGCCCUUUAGAACCAAUCAAAUUGACACAUAGAUUAUUAAUUAAAAAAUAUUAAAUUAAAUAAAAAAUAGCUUAAAAAAUAAAAACGCUAAUUUUAACGACGCUAACGCUUCCAGCUAAACCCUAAACCCUAAACCCUAAAUCUUAAAUUCUAAACCAUAUACCCUAAAUUCUAAACCCAAAUCCAAACCCCUAAACUCAAACCCUAUACCUUAAACCCUAAUCCUAGACCCUAAACCCAAAUUAUAUACCCUAAACCCAAAAACUAGACUAUAAACCUAAACUCUAUACCCUAAACCAAAGUCAUAGACCCUAAACCCAAACCGUAAACCUU